AUAUCAAUAAGCGGAGGAAAAGAAACUAACAAGGAUUCCCCUAGUAACUGCGAGUGAAGCGGGAAAAGCUCAAAUUUAAAAUCUGGCGGUCUCUGGCCGUCCGAAUUGUAAUCUAGAGAAGUAAUGCCCGUGCUGGACCGUGUAUAAGUCUCCUGGGAUGGAGCGUCAUAGAGGGUGAGAAUCCCGUCUUUGACACGGACUACCAGUGCAUUGUGGUAUGCUCUCAAAGAGUCGAGUUGUUUGGGAAUGCAGCUCAAAAUGGGUGGUAAAUUCCAUCUAAAGCUAAAUAUUGGCGAGAGACCGAUAGCGAACAAGUACCGUGAGGGAAAGAUGAAAAGAACUUUGGAAAGAGAGUUAAACAGUACGUGAAAUUGCUGAAAGGGAAACGCUUGAAGUCAGUCGCGUUGACCAGGGAUCAGCCUUGCUUUUGCAUGGUGUACUUUCUGGUUGACGGGUCAGCAUCAAUUUUGACCACUGGAAAAGGGCCAGGGGAAUGUGGCAGCUUCGGCUGUGUUAUAGCCCCUAGUCGCAUACAGUGGUUGGGAUUGAGGAACUCAGCACGCCGCAAGGCCGGGUUUCGACCACGUUCGUGCUUAGGAUGCUGGCAUAAUGGCUUUAAGCGACCCGUCUUGAAACACGGACCAAGGAGUCUAACAUGCCUGCGAGUAUUUGGGUGGAAAACCCAAGUGCGUAAUGAAAGUGAAAGUUGAGAUCCCUGUCGUGGGGAGCAUCGACGCCCGGACCAGAACUUUUGGGACGGAUCCGCGGUGGAGCAUGUAUGUUGGGACCCGAAAGAUGGUGAACUAUGCCUGAAUAGGGUGAAGCCAGAGGAAACUCUGGUGGAGGCUCGUAGCGAUUCUGACGUGCAAAUCGAUCGUCAAAUUUGGGUAUAGGGGCGAAAGACUAAUCGAACCAUCUAGUAGCUGGUUCCUGCC
Molecule: ribosomal RNA, 935 nt
Filed under: Agaricus campestris
Lineage: Eukaryota; Fungi; Basidiomycota; Agaricomycetes; Agaricales; Agaricaceae
Description: eukaryotic LSU rRNA
Rfam family: Eukaryotic large subunit ribosomal RNA
Source: RNAcentral